RNAcentral lists this ribosomal RNA (874 nucleotides) under uncultured Neocallimastigales. RNAcentral describes it as "partial large subunit ribosomal RNA". It matches the Rfam family "Eukaryotic large subunit ribosomal RNA", at positions 1 to 644 of the family's 3401-position model. The record is from RNAcentral. Lineage: Eukaryota; Fungi; Neocallimastigomycota; Neocallimastigomycetes; Neocallimastigales.
UACUAGAGUAGCACUCGCAUAUCAAUAAGCGGAGGAAAAGGCUGCGGAACUGAACGACCACUACCUACGCUUAGGAUGUUGACGCGCGUGUGUGCGUGAGUCUAUACAUGACUCUGUGCAUAUCAAUAAGCGGAGGAAAAGAAACUAACAAGGAUUCCCCUAGUAACGGCGAGUGAAGCGGGAAGAGCUCAAAUUUGAAAUCUUAAAGGGUUUCCCUUUACGAAUUGUAGUUUAAAGAAGUGUUUUCUGUUGAGGUUUUGGUAAAAGUUCUUUGGAAUAGGACAUCAUAGAGGGUGAGAAUCCCGUAUUUGACCUUUACUUUCAACUUUGUGAUACACUUUCAAAGAGUCGGAUUGUUUGGGAAUGCAGUCCAAAAUGGGUGGUAAAUUUCAUCUAAAGCUAAAUAUUGGCGAGAGACCGAUAGCGAACAAGUACCGUGAGGGAAAGAUGAAAAGAACUUUGAAAAGAGAGUUAAACAGUACGUGAAAUUGUCAAAAGGGAAGCGUUUGACACCAGUGUUGUUUUUCUGAAAAUCAAUUAAAGAACUGUUUAUGCUAAGUUGUUUAGACUUUAUCAGCUAACUGUUUAGUUUUGAGCUUUUCUUUAAUGCACUUUUCAGUUAACAAGUCAACAUCAAUUUCUUUUGCUGUAAAAAAGCUUGAGGAAGGUGGCUUGAGAUUCGUCUUAAGUGUUUAUAGCCUCUUGCCUAUGCAGUCGGAGAGAUUGAGGUCUGCAGCGUAGAUCCUUCGGGGCUAAAUGCAUUUGUGCUAAGUUAUAGCAUUUUAUAGACAACUUGUUGACUAUGAUUUGUCUUGUAGCUUACUCGCUUAUGUUAUUUUACCUACGCUUAGGAUGUUGAUCUCUCACAGUCGAG